RNAcentral lists this small RNA (3179 nucleotides) under Pongo abelii (Sumatran orangutan). Its description in RNAcentral is "processed transcript". Lineage: Eukaryota; Metazoa; Chordata; Mammalia; Primates; Hominidae. The record is from RNAcentral.
UGCAGGGCUGAGAUGGGUGGAUCGCUUGAACACAGGAGGUUAAGGCUGCAGUGAGCCGAGAUCGUGCCACUGCACACUAGCCUGGGUGGCGGGAGUGAGACCGUGUCUAAAAAACAACAACGACGACAACAACAACAACAACCAAAAAAUGGACUGAGGUUGGGGUGGCAAGGCUGGGCUGGAAUGGAGGCUGAGGCCAGGCCCUGGCAGCGCCCAGGGAGUAGAGGGCGUGCAGCAGGAAGCAAGGGCCACCCUCAGGGAUGGGGGACUGGGCCUGGCAGCUGCCGAGGCAGAGGGCAGGAUGCAUAUGGAGAGCCACGUGGGGCUGCGGCUGAGCCAAGGAUUGUGAGAGGAAUCCUGCUGCUCUGGGUGGCAGGCAGAAGGCCUGGGCUACAGGUGGGGCCUGCUGGGGAGACCACAGGUGAGGCAGGUCUGGCUGACCCUGGGCCCUCCGCACACCGGUACUCCUCCUGCCUGGCUGCUCCGUCAGCAGGUGUCAGAGUCUGAGUCACCUUCUCCUCACGUGACCCCCACCAGGACCAGGCAGGGAGGUGGCCAUCUUUGGCCCUGACUCAGCCCUGCAGGGAGAAGAGGGGCUGGAGCUGCAGGUGGCCUGCCGCUGGCUCCCCCAACCCCUGCCCACCUGGGUCUUGUGCUGUGUGUACUUGUGCUGUGUCUGUCCUCCCUUGUGACCAGCUUCUGCUGGAUCUGGUUGUCCAGCCAUGAUCUUCUGAUCGUUGUGGUUUCUGGACACACAUCUGUUGGACUGAGGAAUUUGUGUUCCUGGCCACAGAACAGUGGCCACCUCUGCCUCAAGCAGUUCCUGGUCUGGGCACUCCCCUGGGGAGGCUGGAGAGGACCGAGCCGUCUCCUGAUGCAGAAAGUCAGCCCCGCUGGGCAGUGCUCGCCUAGGAAGUAGGGCCCCACCCAACGGUGUGCUGACUGUGGAACAUUGUCUGCCCAGGCGGGUCUGGCUACAUUCCUGCAGCAUGAUGGUUGGCAGUUAGCUUCCUGGAGCGUGGAUGGGUCCUUCCCUGCCUAACUGACUUGUCCACAGGGCAGCAAGAAGAUGCGUCCCUUGGUGUGUCCCGAGUAUCUCCUGUAGGCAGCUGAGCUUUCACAGGUCUGGCUAGGAGCCAAGGUUACCAAUUUGGGGGGUAACCCAGCCAUCAUCUGGAUGAGCGUUGGGGUCUUUCUGCUCUGGGUUGCAGGGCAGACGUCGUUUUGUGCUGGUCAGGCCCCUCACCAGCCUGAUUCCCUCGGAGCCCCCCAAGACAGGAGAUGGGCAGAUGUCCUCUGAAGUGGCAUGGGCUGCUUGCUCACUGGCCUUCCCAGGACCCUGCCCAGGUGGCGCUGCUUGGCCCCAGGUCGAAUUCGUGUGCUAGCAGCAAUUAGGGGCCUGGGCCGUCGGCUGGCUGGGGCUCAUGCAGCCUUCCCCUUUGCAGCCAUCCGGGUGACCUGCACAGGUUCCUGCGGGGUCUCCAACAAGGCUAAUGACACAGCGUGGGUAGUGGAGGAGGGUUACUUCAACAGUUCCCUGUCGCUGGCAGACAAGGGGAGCCUGCCCGCUGGAGAGCACAGCUUCCCCUUCCAGUUCCUGCUUCCUGCCACAGCACCCACGUCCUUUGAGGGUCCUUUUGGGAAGAUCGUGCACCAGGUGAGGGCCACCAUCCACACGCCACGGUUUUCCAAGGAUCACAAGUGCAGCCUCGUGUUCUAUAUCUUGAGCCCCUUGAACCUGAACAGCAUCCCAGACAUUGAGGUGAGGAUGGCACAGUGACCUCCUUGGUGGGUCCCCACCCUCAUGGAGGCUGGGGAAGAGCUGGGCAGGCACUGCUUCAUCCCAGUGUCUUGUCCCCAGCUGAGGUGAGGGGGGCCAGGGUCUGGAGGCAGUGGCCUCUUUGCCCUGAGCUGACUGCUGAUGUCCAGGGGCAGGGCGUGGCAGGGCUGAGGGGCCUGUCCCAAUGCCACAGGGAUCCAGCCUGCCCACACCUGCUAAGCCCCUCCCUGGCCCUCCCCCCAAGCAACCCAACGUGGCCUCUGCCACCAAGAAGUUCUCCUACAAGCUGGUGAAGACGGGCAGCGUGGUCCUCACAGCCAGCACUGAUCUCCGCGGCUAUGUGGUGGGGCAGGCACUGCAGCUGCAUGCCGACAUUGAGAACCAGUCAGGCAAGGACACCAGCCCUGUGGUGGCCAGUCUGCUGCAGAAAGUGUCCUAUAAGGCCAAGCGCUGGAUCCACGACGUACGGACCAUCGCAGAGGUGGAGGGUGCGGGCGUCAAGGCCUGGCGGCGGGCGCAGUGGCACGAGCAGAUCCUGGUGCCUGCCUUGCCCCAGUCGGCCCUGCCGGGCUGCAGCCUCAUCCACAUCGACUACUACUUACAGGUCUCUCUGAAGGCGCCGGAAGCUACGGUGACCCUCCCGGUCUUCAUUGGCAAUAUUGCUGUGAACCAUGCCCCAUUGAGCCCCCGGCCAGGCCUGGGGCUGCCUCCUGGGGCCCCACCCCUGGUGGUGCCUUCCGCACCACCCCAGGAGGAGGCUGAGGCUGCGGCUGGCGGCCUCCAAUUCUUGGACCCCGUCUUCCUCUCCACCAAGAGCCAUUCGCAGCAGCAGCCCCUGCUGGCCACCUUGAGUUCUGUGCCUGGUGCGCCCGAGCCCUGUCCUCAGGAUGGCAGCCCUGCCUCACACCCGCUGCACCCUCCCUUGUGCAUUUCAACAGGUGCCACUGUCCCCUACUUUGCAGAGGGCUCCAGGGGGCCAAUGCCCACCACCAGCACCUUGAUUCUUCCUCCAGAGUACAGCUCUUGGGGCUACCCCUAUGGUGAGUCGAGGGCCAGGGCUUGGCAGGGAGGGGACGCCAGGAGCCCCAUGCAGACCCUGCUUUCUUCCCGCAGAGGCCCCACCGUCUUAUGAGCAGAGCUGCGGCGGCGUGGACCCCAGCCUGACCCCUGAGAGCUGACCCCGUGCUGCCUUCUCAAGGCAGGCCUGGCCUCUGCCCUGGGACUGGGGCGCCCAGGGCCUCGUGCCUUCUCUCUCGGCCUGGCCUGGCCCACUCAGGACCUGCCCAGCCUCUGCCAGCUCCUCUGGCAUCCGCCCUCUUCUCCGUGGGGCUGGGGUGGGGGUGGCAGGGAGCUGGGACCUGGAGAGACGACUCCUGUAAAUAAAACACUUUAUUUGUAG